RNAcentral lists this long non-coding RNA (1053 nucleotides) under Monodelphis domestica (gray short-tailed opossum). RNAcentral's name for it is "lncRNA (ENSMODG00000045470.1)". Lineage: Eukaryota; Metazoa; Chordata; Mammalia; Didelphimorphia; Didelphidae. The record is from RNAcentral.
AAUUUUACACUAGAUAAGAGUUCUUUUUUCUUCUUCUACUUUUCCAGCUUCUUAGCAGUCUGAGAUCUCUCUUGGGGUCCCUUUUGCCUCUAAAAUUGGAGAAGUAUAAUUUACUGAGUUUCUCCUGGUAAACAUUUCAAAACCAGCCAAAGCCCUAUAUCUGAAGAGAGGUUUUCUUCUCCAAAAGAUGCUGUGAACUCCUCUGAUUCUUGUACCUCCUAUUGUUAGUGAACUUUAAUGGCAUUGGAUGCUAAACUGGAACUUAAGCUAGGUUGGGAGGGGCUGAAGCCUGUACUCACCCUACUCUGCAGUUCAUACUCUACUUUCAAUAAAUAUUUUGGAUAAUGGUAGAACUUCAGUUCUUUGAAGAUGUUGAUUGUCCUGCUCAGAGUCAAAGCCCUUGAUUGCUGUUCUUAACUAUGUGUCUCCCCUAGUCACUUUCUCUUUCUGGGCCCUUCUAUAAAAUGAUGACUCUGUUAGAUGGCCUUCAAUUCAAAAAACAUAUGCAAGAGCACCGGUGAUAGGACUCCUAACACAAAGGCAAAAAUGAAAUGAUCUUAUAAAUAGCAGAGGAGAAACAAUGUACCCAAAUGUAUAAGAAUAACGAACUGGAGGAAUUCCAUGUGAACUGGAACAACCUCCAGGAAGUGAUGCAGAGCGAGAGGAGCAGAACCAGGAGAACAUUGUACACAGAGACUGAUACACUGUGGCACAAUUGAAUGUAAUAGACUUCUCCAUUAGUGACAAUGCAGUUAUCCUGAACAACUCUGAGGGAUCUGUGAGAAAGAACACUAUCUACAUUCAGAGGAAAAACUAUGGGAGUAAAAACACCAAAGAAAAACAACUGCUUGAAUACAUGGGUCAAGGGUAAUAUGAUUGGGGAUGUAGACUCUUAAUGAAGUGCAAACACCAACAACAUGGAAAUGGGUUCUGAUCAAGGACACAUGUAAAACCCAGUAGAAUUGCAUGUAGGCUAUGGGAAGGACGGGGGGAGGGGAGGGAGGAAUAGAAACUUAUUUUUGUAACCAAGGAAUAAUGUUUGAAAUUGACCAA